UGACAGAUCCUUGAGGUGUCUGUGUCUGC
This 29-nucleotide non-coding RNA is filed under the name Homo sapiens (human). The record is from RNAcentral. Lineage: Eukaryota; Metazoa; Chordata; Mammalia; Primates; Hominidae.